Shimia sp. SK013 is the source of this 109-nucleotide regulatory RNA element. It matches the Rfam family "Guanidine-I riboswitch aptamer". From Rfam's summary of the family: This family represents a conserved RNA structure found upstream of the ykkC and yxkD genes in Bacillus subtilis and related genes in other bacteria. NCBI's taxonomy places the organism in Bacteria, Pseudomonadati, Pseudomonadota, Alphaproteobacteria, Rhodobacterales, Roseobacteraceae. The record is from Rfam.
GUGCAGGACGCUUAGGGUUCCGCCGCCUUACAAGCGGGUCAGGUCCGAGAAGCGUCACCUUGUUGGCAAAAUCCGGCAAGGCACACGGCGGGGCAAAAUCCCGGGAGAC